CGAUUAGAUAUUCGCGAAGCAGGUUCCGGUAACGAAGUUACCGAAGGACGGUUUAUCUGAGGACUCUUAGGCUCCUGUACUUCACUUUAGUCUGGCUAGUGGAGGAGGUAGGAGUUACUUUUAAUUAGUUCCGCGUGUACGAGGAAAAAGUAUAGAUAAGCUGUUCCCAUUCAGCUAGGGUAGCUAGUGCGUGCGAUAGUUUAUGCACCUGUGCGAUUUAGAGGUUUGCCGCGACCGCACCACUAACUACCAGUUCGGAAUAGCAAACACUAUAGAGCCACCGCCAGGACUGAAGAAUCCGCCCGGCGAUCCACAAGGCCGGAAAAGGGUCGCUACCUUAAUUGUGCGCCCUAACGAGAGAGCAUCCAGACGAGAAGGAUAAGCUAAUCCAGCCCGAGUGCAGCACAGCAUCCAACGCCAACAGCAGGCGCGCGCAACGCGCUAGAAGCAGCAUUGAGAGAGGGAGAGAAAGGGAUUAACUGAUCCACCAGCAGCAGCAGUGCAGAGCCGAUAAGCAACGUGGAGGACCCCAUGUUGGCCCUAGAAGGCAAUUGAGCAACCAACGAAGCGGAAGGUAAAAUCCACCGAGAGUGGUAGGCAGCACUGAGUGAGUACGUACCUAUAAAUAGUCCAUGCGCAUGAGACCGAAGGUGAGGGCCGAAACCUUAGAGAAUUGAUCGAUAGAUUCGGAUCGGAAAUGAAAGUUCAAAUGAAAGUUCAAAACGCACAGUAGGAAGAGAAGUUAGAAGCUUAAAUGGGAAAGGAAAGGGAACUAUAGACUAGGCCUAGCGAAGAGAAAGAUGAAGUCAAAUGUUUAACGAUAAGUUAGGAAAGUACUAAAUAAACCCCAUGUAAUUUGUACCACCGCACUUGUGACUUUGAUAAUAUUGUGCGCUGUUCCUCUUAGUGUCUCGGGAGAGGUUUUCAUGCGGUCCGCGUGACGUUGUCCUUUAGUUGAUUUUGUGUAGAUUUGUACUGGGGAGGCUGACCCUGAAAUCAGCCACGAUCUCUCCCGAUUCUUACCGGUGGGCAGACGGG
Wyeomyia smithii (pitcher-plant mosquito) is the source of this 1038-nucleotide long non-coding RNA. RefSeq lists it as uncharacterized. NCBI's taxonomy places the organism in Eukaryota, Metazoa, Arthropoda, Insecta, Diptera, Culicidae. The record is from RefSeq and is a predicted model, not a curated record. The transcript has 3 exons.